This 574-nucleotide small RNA is filed under the name Pan troglodytes (chimpanzee). RNAcentral describes it as "sense intronic". Lineage: Eukaryota; Metazoa; Chordata; Mammalia; Primates; Hominidae. The record is from RNAcentral.
GCUGCUCAGCCAAUGCUGUGGUCUUGAUGGGACUGCAUUCGCUUUACAUGAUUGAAGCGGCUGGCGUGGAAGCUGUGCCAUGUCAUGUAAAGCAUGCAGUGGGAAAGCAGUGGGGUGGGGGCGUCUUUGUAUUACAUCAUCUGUUGUUGCCGUUUAAAAAUCCAGAGGCCUUUCUACACUUCAGUUGGAUGUUGAUUUCAAAAUGACCGAUGUUUCUUUCUGACUCAUGAAGGCUGCUGUCUUUGGAAUCUGACAUUAGAGGGAAGCGAAACUUUACAAUGUGUGGGGCAGCCUGGUGUGGUGGCUCAGGUCUGUAAUCCAGCACUUUGGGAGGCCAAGGAUGGCGGAUCACUCGAGCCCUGGAGUUUGAGACCAGCCUGGGCAACAUGAUAAGACCCCACCUCUACAAAAAUACAAAAAUUAGCUGGACACGGUGGUACACACCUGUGGUCCCACUACUCAGGAGGCUGAGUAAUUGGGUCCAUAGUGUAGGUAAGUCACCUCCUUUAAGAGACUUUGAUAAGCAAAAUGGUGAAUAUAUUCUUUUUAUUUAUUAUUAUUUUUUAUUUUUGAG